This 314-nucleotide ribosomal RNA is filed under the name uncultured eukaryote. RNAcentral's name for it is "partial 18S ribosomal RNA". It matches the Rfam family "Eukaryotic small subunit ribosomal RNA", at positions 1470 to 1796 of the family's 1831-position model. The record is from RNAcentral.
CCCUUAGAUGUUCUGGGCCGCACGCGCGCUGCAAUGGCAGACUCAGCGAGUUACCUCUGUCGAAAGGCACAGGGAAUCUUUACAGUAUCUGCCGUGAUGGGGAUAGACCCUUGUAAUUUUUGGUCUUCAACGAGGAAUUCCUAGUAAACGCAAGUCAUUAACUUGCAUUGAUUACGUCCCUGCCCUUUGUACACACCGCCCGUCGCACCUACCGAUUGAAUGGUCCGGUGAAGUCCUCGGACCCAGUUGAACCUCGAGUUGAACAGGGAAAGUUGACUAAAUCUUACCAUUUAGAGGAAGGAGAAGUCGUAACA